CUACGGGCGGCUCCAGUGGGGAAUAUUGGACAAUGGGGGAAACCCUGAUCCAGCAAUGCCGCGUGUGUGAAGAAGGCCUGCGGGUUGUAAAGCACUUUCGGUUGGGAGGACUGCUUCCAGCACUAAUAUUGUUGGAAGUUGACGUUACCUUCAGAAGAAGCACCGGCUAACUCCGUGCCAGCAGCCGCGGUAAUACGGAGGGUGCAAGCGUUAAUCGGAAUUACUGGGCGUAAAGCGCGCGUAGGCGGCUAGAUCAGUCGGGUGUGAAAGCCCCGGGCUUAACCUGGGAACUGCAUCCGAUACUGUCUAGCUUGAGUACAGGAGAGGAGAGUGGAAUUCCACAUGUAGCGGUGAAAUGCGUAGAUAUGUGGAGGAACACCAAUGGCGAAGGCAGCUCUCUGGCCUGAUACUGACGCUGAGGUGCGAAAGCGUGGGGAGCAGACAGGAUUAGAUACCCGAGUAGUC
Molecule: ribosomal RNA, 465 nt
Filed under: uncultured bacterium
Lineage: Bacteria
Description: partial 16S ribosomal RNA
Rfam family: Bacterial small subunit ribosomal RNA
Source: RNAcentral